CACGUAGGGCGCAAGCGUUGUCCGGAAUUAUUGGGCGUAAAGAGCUCGUAGGCGGUUUGUUGCGUCGGCUGUGAAAUCCCGAGGCUCAACCUCGGGUCUGCAGUCGAUACGAGCAAACUAGAGUGUUGCAGGGGAGACUGGAAUUCCCGGUGUAGCGGUGAAAUGUGUAGAGAUCGGGAGGAACACCGGUGGCGAAGGCGGCGAUCUGGGUCGAUACUGACGCUGAGGUGCGAAAGCGUGGGGAGCAAACAGG
Molecule: ribosomal RNA, 253 nt
Filed under: uncultured bacterium
Lineage: Bacteria
Description: partial 16S ribosomal RNA
Rfam family: Bacterial small subunit ribosomal RNA
Source: RNAcentral